Molecule: ribosomal RNA, 253 nt
Filed under: uncultured bacterium
Lineage: Bacteria
Description: partial 16S ribosomal RNA
Rfam family: Bacterial small subunit ribosomal RNA
Source: RNAcentral
UACGGGGGGGGCAAGCGUUGUUCGGAAUUACUGGGCGUAAAGGGCUCGUAGGUGGCCAACUAAGUCAGACGUGAAAUCCCUCGGCCUAACCGAGGAACUGCGCUUGAAACUACCAGACUCGAGGGAGAUAGAGGAAAGCGGAACUGAUGGUGGAGCGGUGAAAUGCGUUGAUAUCAUCAGGAACACCGGUGGCGAAGGCGGCUGGCUGGGCGUUAACUGACGCUGAGGAACGAAAGCCAGGGGAGCGAACGGG